GACGGAGGGGGCUAGCGUUGUUCGGAAUUACUGGGCGUAAAGCGCGCGUAGGCGGCUUGAUCAGUUGGGCGUGAAAGGCCUGGGCUCAACCCGGGAACUGCGCUCAAUACGGUCUGGCUUGAGUUCGGAAGAGGGUAGUGGAACUCCCAGUGUAGAGGUGAAAUUCGUAGAUAUUGGGAAGAACACCAGUGGCGAAGGCGGCUACCUGGUCCUACACUGACGCUGAGGCGCGAAAGCGUGGGGAGCAAACAGG
RNAcentral lists this ribosomal RNA (253 nucleotides) under uncultured bacterium. Its description in RNAcentral is "partial 16S ribosomal RNA". It matches the Rfam family "Bacterial small subunit ribosomal RNA", at positions 524 to 776 of the family's 1533-position model. The record is from RNAcentral.